CACGUAGGGUGCGAGCGUUGUCCGGAAUUAUUGGGCGUAAAGAGCUCGUAGGCGGUGUGUCGCGUCGGCCGUGAAAACCUGCAGCUUAACUGUGGGCUUGCGGUCGAUACGGGCAUCACUGGAGUUCGGCAGGGGAGACUGGAAUUCCUGGUGUAGCGGUGAAAUGCGCAGAUAUCAGGAGGAACACCAGCGGCGAAGGCGGCGCUCUGGGCCGGAACUGACGCUGAGGAGCGAAAGCGUGGGUAGCAAACAGG
This 254-nucleotide ribosomal RNA is filed under the name uncultured bacterium. RNAcentral's name for it is "partial 16S ribosomal RNA". It matches the Rfam family "Bacterial small subunit ribosomal RNA", at positions 524 to 776 of the family's 1533-position model. The record is from RNAcentral.